This 253-nucleotide ribosomal RNA is filed under the name uncultured bacterium. Its description in RNAcentral is "partial 16S ribosomal RNA". It matches the Rfam family "Bacterial small subunit ribosomal RNA", at positions 524 to 776 of the family's 1533-position model. The record is from RNAcentral.
UACGGAGGGUGCGAGCGUUGUUCGGAAUCACUGGGCGUAAAGCGCGUGUAGGCGGCCCAUUAAGUCUGAUGUGAAAGCCCGGGGCUCACCCCCGGAAGUGCAUUGGAAACUGAUGGACUCGAGUCCCGGAGAGGAGAGUGGAAUUCCCGGUGUAGCGGUGAAAUGCGCAGAGAUCGGGAGGAACACCCGUAGCGAAGGCGGCACUCUGGGCCGGUACUGACGCUGAGGAGCGAAAGCGUGGGGAGCAAACAGG